GCUUAGAGAACAGGAAGUGGGAGCCACAUACCCCGAGCUGGCGGCUUGAGCCUGUGGUAUCUAGGCUCACCUCACUGCGGUUGGUGGAGGUGAUGGAGGUUGCAGCUUGGCCAGCAUGGUAGAAAGGUGGCAGGGUAGACUCUAGAUUCUAGAGGGCAACCUCUGUUUGCUCAUGCUGGAGCGUGGCAGGUGCACAAUGUUUCCUUGGGAAUCCUCAGCAGGGCACGUCUGGCUUUUACCACCCAGUUGCUUCGAGCCAGGAGAUGGAGGAGUCAUCUGUUGCACGCUGGAGGCUGGAGCCUGCAGAUGGCAUGGUUCUGUGGCUCACCUCGCUGCAGUUGGUGGCAGAGACAGAGACUGCAGCUUGACCAGAGUGGUGGAGUGAGUAUUGUCAUCUGCAUGAGCAAAUCUGGUUCAUCACAUCUUUGCAACAGGAAAAGGAAGGGAGGAUCAUGUGUAUAAUGUUUUAAGGCCAAGAUUCACAACAAGAACAAAGUCUUUAUUAACUUUUGCCUUCAAGAACCUGCAGUGUUGAGCCCUUUUUUAUUUCUGGUUGGAGUGCAGUGGCAUGAUCUUGACUCACUGCAACCUCCACCUCCCGGGUUCAAGCCAUUCUCUUCCCUCAGCCUCCUCAGUAGCUGGAUUACAGAUAUGUAUCUCAAGAGCACUCCACAACAAAGAUUCUGCCUGCAAUCCUCCACUUCAAGGUCUGUUCCAGGAAACCUGUGUAACACAGUUAUGCAUAGAGUGGUCUUAGGAAGCUGACUCUAACAUGAAAAUUUAGAGUUGGAUCUUUUGCUGACAUAUUGAAUAUUCAUAAGAGCAUAUGAUACAUUUGUCUAUCAUAAACAUGUCAUUUCAAAAAACCCUCAAAGUUGCCUUGUAGAACAUAAUUUUAAAACUAGUGUGUAGGAAUAUUUCAUAUCAGUUAUUCAGUCUUCUUAAUAUCUGAACCGAAAUUAAUCUUCCAUUCUGCUUUUAUUUAUAAAUAAUGAUUUAUUGUCAGAUUCAAUAAUUUAUAUUUUCAUUUAUUCUAAGGUAGGAAAUACCAGCAUAAAAAUAAAUUAUUUGAAACAAAUC
RNAcentral lists this long non-coding RNA (1080 nucleotides) under Homo sapiens (human). RNAcentral's name for it is "non-protein coding LINC00408:2". The record is from RNAcentral. Lineage: Eukaryota; Metazoa; Chordata; Mammalia; Primates; Hominidae.